UUGUAGCUCAAUUGGUAGAGCAGCGGUCUCCAAAACCGCAGGUUGGGGGUUCGAGCCCCUCCG
RNAcentral lists this transfer RNA (63 nucleotides) under bovine gut metagenome. It matches the Rfam family "tRNA", at positions 6 to 65 of the family's 71-position model. Rfam says of the family: Transfer RNA (tRNA) molecules are approximately 80 nucleotides in length. Their secondary structure includes four short double-helical elements and three loops (D, anti-codon, and T loops). The record is from RNAcentral.